Molecule: ribosomal RNA, 1021 nt
Filed under: Acinetobacter radioresistens
Lineage: Bacteria; Pseudomonadati; Pseudomonadota; Gammaproteobacteria; Moraxellales; Moraxellaceae
Description: bacterial SSU rRNA
Rfam family: Bacterial small subunit ribosomal RNA
Source: RNAcentral
GAUGAACGCUGGCGGCAGGCUUAACACAUGCAAGUCGAGCGGAUGAAGGUAGCUUGCUACCGGAUUCAGCGGCGGACGGGUGAGUAAUGCUUAGGAAUCUGCCUAUUAGUGGGGGACAACGUUCCGAAAGGAGCGCUAAUACCGCAUACGUCCUACGGGAGAAAGCAGGGGACCUUUGGGCCUUGCGCUAAUAGAUGAGCCUAAGUCGGAUUAGCUAGUUGGUAGGGUAAAGGCCUACCAAGGCGACGAUCUGUAGCGGGUCUGAGAGGAUGAUCCGCCACACUGGGACUGAGACACGGCCCAGACUCCUACGGGAGGCAGCAGUGGGGAAUAUUGGACAAUGGGGGGAACCCUGAUCCAGCCAUGCCGCGUGUGUGAAGAAGGCCUUUUGGUUGUAAAGCACUUUAAGCGAGGAGGAGGCUACCUAGAUUAAUACUUUAGGAUAGUGGACGUUACUCGCAGAAUAAGCACCGGCUAACUCUGUGCCAGCAGCCGCGGUAAUACAGAGGGUGCGAGCGUUAAUCGGAUUUACUGGGCGUAAAGCGUGCGUAGGCGGCCAAUUAAGUCAAAUGUGAAAUCCCCGAGCUUAACUUGGGAAUUGCAUUCGAUACUGGUUGGCUAGAGUAUGGGAGAGGAUGGUAGAAUUCCAGGUGUAGCGGUGAAAUGCGUAGAGAUCUGGAGGAAUACCGAUGGCGAAGGCAGCCAUCUGGCCUAAUACUGACGCUGAGGUACGAAAGCAUGGGGAGCAAACAGGAUUAGAUACCCUGGUAGUCCAUGCCGUAAACGAUGUCUACUAGCCGUUGGGGCCCUUGAGGCUUUAGUGGCGCAGCUAACGCGAUAAGUAGACCGCCUGGGGAGUACGGUCGCAAGACUAAAACUCAAAUGAAUUGACGGGGGCCCGCACAAGCGGUGGAGCAUGUGGUUUAAUUCGAUGCAACGCGAAGAACCUUACCUGGCCUUGACAUACAGAGAACUUUCCAGAGAUGGAUUGGUGCCUUCGGGAACUCUGAUACAGGUGCUG